This 432-nucleotide long non-coding RNA is filed under the name Panax ginseng (ginseng). RNAcentral's name for it is "long non-coding RNA (PGIN_LNC014462)". Lineage: Eukaryota; Viridiplantae; Streptophyta; Magnoliopsida; Apiales; Araliaceae. The record is from RNAcentral.
UCCUCCAAUAUCUUCGUCCGAUCUGUAUUGAGAGGAGUAUAAACUUUAUUGACGUUUUUGUUUGGGAAAGGUGGUCGACCACUGCCCGAUCCCCCACCAUUAUAGUUCUUCCUUCCUGAAUUAUCUGUCCUCCCCUAGUUGUUGUCCGGACGCUGAUAGUUCUGUUUAUCCCGAUCCUUGCUUUUCUCGUAUGAUUGAGAGUGGGGCUUAAAGUUUCCCAUAGUCUCCUCUAUGGCGAUGAAUCCUUCGACCCGGUGGAAGGCUUCGGUAAGGUCGGUCGGAGGGUGGAUUAAUUACUAGAUCAUUCAUCAAUUUCUUUGACCUUCCUAUGUCCAGACUCGUUGUAAAAAAUCCCAAAGCCUGAGGGGAGUUCAGCUCCGCCACCAAUCCCACUGCCUCUCGAAACCUCUUGACGUACUGACCAAAGCUUUC